AUUGAACGCUGGCGGCAGGCCUAACACAUGCAAGUCGAACGGUAGCACAGAGGAGCUUGCUCCUUGGGUGACGAGUGGCGGACGGGUGAGUAACGUCUGGGAAACUGCCCGAUGGAGGGGGAUAACUACUGGAAACGGUAGCUAAUACCGCAUAACGUCGCAAGACCAAAGAGGGGGACCUUCGGGCCUCUUGCCAUCGGAUGUGCCCAGAUGGGAUUAGCUAGUAGGUGGGGUAACGGCUCACCUAGGCGACGAUCCCUAGCUGGUCUGAGAGGAUGACCAGCCACACUGGAACUGAGACACGGUCCAGACUCCUACGGGAGGCAGCAGUGGGGAAUAUUGCACAAUGGGCGCAAGCCUGAUGCAGCCAUGCCGCGUGUAUGAAGAAGGCCUUCGGGUUGUAAAGUACUUUCAGCGAGGAGGAAGGCGUUGUGGUUAAUAACCGCAACGAUUGACGUUACUCGCAGAAGAAGCACCGGCUAACUCCGUGCCAGCAGCCGCGGUAA
RNAcentral lists this ribosomal RNA (506 nucleotides) under uncultured Enterobacterales bacterium. RNAcentral's name for it is "bacterial SSU rRNA". It matches the Rfam family "Bacterial small subunit ribosomal RNA", at positions 30 to 523 of the family's 1533-position model. The record is from RNAcentral. Lineage: Bacteria; Pseudomonadati; Pseudomonadota; Gammaproteobacteria; Enterobacterales.